This 22-nucleotide microRNA is filed under the name Caenorhabditis elegans. RNAcentral describes it as "cel-miR-4810b-3p". Lineage: Eukaryota; Metazoa; Nematoda; Chromadorea; Rhabditida; Rhabditidae. The record is from miRBase by way of RNAcentral.
UGACUAUCUCAUCAACUUACAG